AGAGUUUGAUCCUGGCUCAGGAUGAACGCUGGCGGCGCGCCUAACACAUGCAAGUCGAACGGUUAAAGCACCUUCGGGUGUGUAUAAAGUGGCGAACGGCUGAGUAACACGUGGGCAACCUGCCCCUCGCACCGGGAUAGCCUCGGGAAACCGUGGUUAAUACCGGAUACUCCGGGACCCCCGCAUGGGGGUGCCGGGAAAGCCCUGACGGCGAGGGAUGGGCCCGCGGCCUGUUAGCUUGUUGGCGGGGUAACGGCCCACCAAGGCGAUUAUGGGUAGCCGGGUUGAGAGACCGACCGGCCAGAUUGGGACUGAGACACGGCCCAGACUCCUACGGGAGGCAGCAGUGGGGAAUCUUGCACAAUGGGCGAAAGCCUGAUGCAGCGACGCCGCGUGCGGGACGAAGGCCUUCGGGUUGUAAACCGCUUUCAGCAGGGACGAGGCCGCAAGGUGACGGUACCUGCAGAAGAAGCCCCGGCUAACUACGUGCCAGCAGCCGCGGUAAUACGUAGGGGGCGAGCGUUAUCCGGAUUCAUUGGGCGUAAAGCGCGCGUAGGCGGCCUGCUAGGUCGGGACUCAAAUCCGGGGGCUCAACCCCCGCCCGGUCCCGAUACCGACAGGCUUGAGUCUGGUAGGGGAAGGCGGAAUUCCAAGUGUAGCGGUGGAAUGCGCAGAUAUUUGGAAGAACACCGGUGGCGAAGGCGGCCUUCUGGGCCACGACUGACGCUGAGGCGCGAAAGCUAGGGGAGCGAACAGGAUUAGAUACCCUGGUAGUCCUAGCCGUAAACGAUGGACACUAGGUGUGGGGGGAUGUGCCCUCCGUGCCGCAGCCAACGCAUUAAGUGUCCCGCCUGGGGAGUACGGCCGCAAGGCUAAAACUCAAAGGAAUUGACGGAAGGGCGAAUU
RNAcentral lists this ribosomal RNA (906 nucleotides) under uncultured bacterium. RNAcentral describes it as "bacterial SSU rRNA". It matches the Rfam family "Bacterial small subunit ribosomal RNA", at positions 8 to 927 of the family's 1533-position model. The record is from RNAcentral.